GCAGUCGACGCUUUGUGGUUCACUGAUUUGAAGAGCUUGCUCAGAUAUGACGAUGGACAUUGCAAAGAGUGGCGAACGGGUGAGUAACACGUGGGAAACCUACCUCUUAGCAGGGGAUAACAUUUGGAAACAGAUGCUAAUACCGUAUAACAAUAGCAACCGCAUGGUUGCUACUUAAAAGAUGGUUCUGCUAUCACUAAGAGAUGGUCCCGCGGUGCAUUAGUUAGUUGGUGAGGUAAUGGCUCACCAAGACGAUGAUGCAUAGCCGAGUUGAGAGACUGAUCGGCCACAAUGGGACUGAGACACGGCCCAUACUCCUACGGGAGGCAGCAGUAGGGAAUCUUCCACAAUGGGCGAAAGCCUGAUGGAGCAACGCCGCGUGUGUGAUGAAGGGUUUCGGCUCGUAAAACACUGUUGUAAGAGAAGAAUGACAUUGAGAGUAACUGUUCAAUGUGUGACGGUAUCUUACCAGAAAGGAACGGCUAAAUACGUGCCAGCAGCCGCGGUAAUACGUAUGUUCCAAGCGUUAUCCGGAUUUAUUGGGCGUAAAGCGAGCGCAGACGGUUAUUUAAGUCUGAAGUGAAAGCCCUCAGCUCAACUGAGGAAUUGCUUUGGAAACUGGAUGACUUGAGUGCAGUAGAGGAAAGUGGAACUCCAUGUGUAGCGGUGAAAUGCGUAGAUAUAUGGAAGAACAUCAGUGGCGAAGCGGCUUUCUGGACUGUAACUGACGUUGAGGCUCGAAAGUGUGGGUAGCAAA
This 757-nucleotide ribosomal RNA is filed under the name Weissella cibaria. Its description in RNAcentral is "bacterial SSU rRNA". It matches the Rfam family "Bacterial small subunit ribosomal RNA", at positions 57 to 772 of the family's 1533-position model. Lineage: Bacteria; Bacillati; Bacillota; Bacilli; Lactobacillales; Lactobacillaceae. The record is from RNAcentral.